Molecule: ribosomal RNA, 327 nt
Filed under: uncultured Candidatus Sumerlaeota bacterium
Lineage: Bacteria; Candidatus Sumerlaeota
Description: bacterial SSU rRNA
Rfam family: Bacterial small subunit ribosomal RNA
Source: RNAcentral
AACGAACGCUGGCGGCGUGGAUUAGGCAUGCAAGUCGUGCGCGAAAGUGGUAGCAAUACUGCGAGUAGAGCGGCGAACUGGUGAGUACAAGGUGACUAACGUGCCCCUGAGUGGGGGAUAACCCACCGAAAGGUGGGCUAAUACCGCAUGAUCUCCGGAGUGCCUCGGCAUUCUGGAGCAAAGCAGUGAUGCGCUUAGGGAUCGGGUCACCCCCCAUUAGCUAGUUGGUGGAGUAACAGCCCACCAAGGCUUCGAUGGGUAGCUGGUCUGAGAGGAUGGUCAGCCACACUGGGACUGAGAUACGGCCCAGACUCCUACGGGUGGCUG